UUGAGUUGUCUCGCGAGACAUAAACACGCGCUGUCGGGGGUAAUGACAUCGUUGAAUUUCAUGUGAGAUACAUGUCGUGCGCUGGUGUGUGUUAGCACACAUGCAAAGCAUAAUCAAUGACGUCACACGGCGUGAAGCAAACGCGUCGUGCGCUGCGUUGUGUGCGUUGUGUGCUGGUGUGUGUGACCAUACAAAGAAAGCUUUACAUCAGCGCGCUGUGGCCACUGGUGGAACCGACUGUUUAUUUGACGAAAGCUAACCUAACCGCGACAACCGCGUACAAAAUGGCGCAAAAUGUCACGAAUUUAUCAUGCAUCAAGUUAUAUUUUCUUUAGUAUAAUAAUUACAUUCGUUUAGUUAAGCAACUUGUUUAUGAUAAUUGUAGAAAAGUGUAGAAAAAUGACACCUGCAUUAUAUCCUGGGAUGAAGAAACGUUAUUUUAUGUCGAUUUCUUUAGAUGACAAAGGAGGUAACCAAAUAGCAUAUCUUACAAAAUCUGAGGACAAUAAUAAGGAUUGUUUAGCAAGGUUAAAAUAAUUAUUUUACUAAAUUAAGACAUUAACAUAUCCAUGUGUUCGACAUAACCUCACUUCUUAAAUCUCUUAAAUUAGUCGGUUGAGAAGCGGAUCGAGAAUGAUUGUUUGAAUAUAAGUCGUACAAAAUUGGAAUGAAACGAUGAACAAUAUACAGAUCUUUAGACAGGCUCAAAUAAUGUAUGUUUAGGAGCAAAUUGAAGAUAAUGGAGAUUUAUCUUCUUAAUAUAAAACCUCUAAAAUUGGGAACAGUAUGUCAUAUAUGCAUGAACUUGAUUGAUGUAUUGAUGUAUAAUGAACUGAAGAUAGAAUGAAUUCAAUCAGGUUAAAAAAAAUGUAUGUGCAAAAGCGACUCGAAGACGAUUUAGAUUUGUCUCCUGAAUAUAAAACUUCCAAGAAGUACAACAUAUAUGAAUAUCCUGUAUCCUCGCAUUUGAACUGGCGAUAGAAUGAAAUCAGUCAGUGUUAAAAAUGUAUGUGUAAAAGCGACUUUAAGAUGAUGGAGAUUUGUACACUGAACAUAAAACUUCCAAAAUUUGGGGCAGUAUGUCAUAUGUGCAUAAUCUGUAUCCUGGCAUUUGAUGCAAUGAACUGGCAAUAGAAUGAAAUAAUGAAAAAUAGGCAGGCUGUUUGAUGUAUAAGGAAGUGGCGAUAGAAUACUUAUGCAACACUUCACACUUCACGCCCCAAAAAUAGAAUUACGUUCAUUAGAUAUACAACAAUUUUCAUUAAAUAUACUGUUAUUAAUAUGUUAAGAUUGAAUAAUUUGUAAAUAGUUUUCUAGUAUAGUUCAUGUUAAAAUUUUAUAAUUUCUAAACUACAAUUCUAAUUUGUAAUAUUUAAAUAUUGUAAAAUUUCUUAUUAUUCACGUAAAUAAAUGCUUAUUC
Long non-coding RNA from Ctenocephalides felis (cat flea), 1420 nucleotides. RefSeq lists it as uncharacterized. The transcript has 6 exons. The record is from RefSeq and is a predicted model, not a curated record. NCBI's taxonomy places the organism in Eukaryota, Metazoa, Arthropoda, Insecta, Siphonaptera, Pulicidae.